Molecule: long non-coding RNA, 1216 nt
Filed under: Mus spicilegus (steppe mouse)
Lineage: Eukaryota; Metazoa; Chordata; Mammalia; Rodentia; Muridae
Description: lncRNA (ENSMSIG00000005328.1)
Source: RNAcentral
CCCCCCCCCAGUCUAUGCAGAAUAGCUGACAUUCUUCCUUCCCUCUUAGAGGGCAGAUUAGCACCACCUGUCUUGGCUAACAUUCACGGGAUUCAGCAGGAAAACUAGUAUUAGGGAGGGAAAACUCCCUGAAUGUGGUAUUUUGGGAUUACUUCUUUGGUUGCGAAACCGCUACCUUUGUAUUCAAAGGUGAUGAGACAUUUUUCUGGCUAGAAACAGAGUUGGCGCAGUGAGGUGUCAAGUUCAAAGGAGACCCUGAAAAGAUCUAAGCCCGAUUUGAGCCAAAGCCUUGGGAGGAAGUUGCAACUGCCCUGGAGCCAAAUGCAUCCUGCAAACAGCCAAGUGGAAGAUCUCACACAGAAGCCGUUUGUAAACGGUUCCCAGGUGGCUACAACACAGCAAACUUUGAGACUUCAGACUCCCAGCGCUCAUCUUCCCAAUGAUCCAUCCCAGGAAGGUGAACAUAUGACAAUGUUUCUAGAAGAAAAGGAGUUAUUAGAGACUCAACAAAACCAGGAUUUGGAAGUGGACAGGCAAAUGUCAUUUGACAGAGCGAGAAGCUCAGCUGCGAGCUCCUUUCCAUCCAUUGGAGAAGGGUAUCCUGCUCGGUGGGGAUUUUUUUUCAGACACGUGGUGACUGAUGCUUGUGUCUAGGGAAGAAAUUUUGACCCCACUGUUGUACUGUGUUGGGAGAUCUGGAUUCCAGAACGUUCACAUGGAUCUCUCAGUGAUCCUGAUUUGCCCCUGUGAGCCUUGCUUUCACCCCACCACAAGGAGGAAUGGUGAACUUCGUCUUCACUGAGAAAUGUGCUCUUCAUGCAGGCAACCAAACCAAAGAAAGAGAUGGCCCGAUCUGUGUAAUGGAACACUCCAGUGCUGAUUGGUUGGGGGAAAAGACUCCCCCAUGCUUGUCUUUUUAUUUUGAAAGGAUCAAUGGCCACAAGCGCAUUAAGUUAUACUCUUGAUGUCAGAGAUUUUGUAAUCUAGUUGCAAGGUAAGAAGCCUGUGUAAAGAGUUGACUUAGUAUCUGCAUAGGUGAAGUGGAGAGAGACUGGAUGGGCACGCAUGCCUGCUUUCCAGGGACUUGGCUUUGAUCUGGAGUGACCUCCCCCUUGGUGACCCCUUGGCUGGCUACUAAGUCUAAAUAGUUGUCUGGCAUCCUUUCUCUUGGUCUCUUUGUUCUUUUAUUCAACAAUUGCGUCUUAAAACCCAAGAA